RNAcentral lists this transfer RNA (76 nucleotides) under Acinetobacter wanghuae. RNAcentral's name for it is "tRNA-Phe". It matches the Rfam family "tRNA". From Rfam's summary of the family: Transfer RNA (tRNA) molecules are approximately 80 nucleotides in length. Their secondary structure includes four short double-helical elements and three loops (D, anti-codon, and T loops). Lineage: Bacteria; Pseudomonadati; Pseudomonadota; Gammaproteobacteria; Moraxellales; Moraxellaceae. The record is from RNAcentral.
GGCGUGAUAGCUCAGUAGGUAGAGCAACGGAUUGAAAAUCCGUGUGUCCCCAGUUCGACCCUGGGUCUCGCCACCA